GACGAACGCUGGUGGCGUGCUUAACACAUGCAAGUCGAACGGGAUUUAGUAAACAGAAGCCUCGGUGGAAGAUUACUAAUGAGAGUGGCGAACGGGUGAGUAACGCGUGAGCAACCUGCCUAUGACAGUGGGAUAGCCUCGGGAAACCGGGAUUAAUACCGCAUAAAAUCGUAGAAACACAUGUUUUAACGGUCAAAGAUUUAUCGGUCAUAGAUGGGCUCGCGUCUGAUUAGCUAGUUGGUGAGAUAACAGCCCACCAAGGCGACGAUCAGUAGCCGGUCUGAGAGGAUGAACGGCCACAUUGGAACUGAGACACGGUCCAAACUCCUACGGGAGGCAGCAGUGGGGAAUAUUGCACAAUGGGGGAAACCCUGAUGCAGCGACGCCGCGUGAACGAAGAAGGUAUUCGUAUCGUAAAGUUCUGCCCUAUGGGAAGAUAAUGACAGUACCAUAGAAGAAAGCUCCGGCUAAAUACGUG
Molecule: ribosomal RNA, 478 nt
Filed under: uncultured bacterium
Lineage: Bacteria
Description: partial 16S ribosomal RNA
Rfam family: Bacterial small subunit ribosomal RNA
Source: RNAcentral